Acinonyx jubatus (cheetah) is the source of this 1942-nucleotide long non-coding RNA. RefSeq lists it as uncharacterized. The transcript has 3 exons. NCBI's taxonomy places the organism in Eukaryota, Metazoa, Chordata, Mammalia, Carnivora, Felidae. The record is from RefSeq and is a predicted model, not a curated record.
CCUCUGGACACAACCUCCCUCUGCUUUCCUGAGGGCCCAGACCAGGCCUUUUUCAGACUCCAUUUCCAGACUGUGGCUCAACCUUUCAGGCUUCCCUUCACGUGACUUCCAAGGAGGAUCUCGGGGGGCUUCGGGGCCCUGUAAGCAGGCUUUCGGAUUUCCUGGGACUGCAGGCUCCGUGGGGCUCUCUCAGCUCCCCCUCCCUGAGUAGAAGGUGAUUUGUUCCCAGAUGCCUUUCACUAAUUAGAAACCCCCUUCAGUUCUCCUGUUAUGUAAGAAUCCAAGGCACCACGUGACCCUCUGAAAAGCUGGGCUCUGUUUUAAACACGGAUUUUUAGCCGGGAUCAAAUGGUGAGAUUUUGGCGCCGCUUUGCAGCGGUGAAGCUGCGAUCCCCUUCGCCCUUCCUCCUCACCCUCUCCUGCCUUCUCCCCGGGCCUCACCCUGCGGUCAGUCACUGGUGCCCGGGCCUCCGCUUCUCCGGCUUCUCCGGCAGGGAGGCCCGGGCGGUGUGCGCGUGCAAGGGCGCGUGCAUGUGCGCGCGCGCGCAUGCGCGCGUGGAGGUGUAAGGGCCGGCCGGAGGGUGGGGGCCCGCGGUGCGAGGCGGCCAGGCCGCAUUUCUGGCUGCUCAUUGUUCAGUCCCCGUCGCCAUGGCGACGGGAGCAGCUGCUCCAUUCUGGGCCUUGGCUUGGCUGUGCGGGGCGGCCCGCCCGCCUGUCUGCCCGCCCGUCCGCCUGCCCGGCCGUGGGAGCUGCCAGCAACUCGCCCUCCCGCUGCCCACAGGCCCUGCCAGGCUGGGCGCAAGAAAGCGUGUUUACUAACACCAUCCACACGGCUCCCUGGGCACCGCGGCUCUGCCCAGAAGAUGUCAGGCCGAGGGCACCGGGAGGCUUCUCUACCCAGCUAGGAAUCUUCUCUGUGUUCUUCUGAUGGUCCACUGCCCUCCAGCUAAACCCAUUUCCCCCAGUGGGUGUCACACUGCCUGAUCUCUCGCCAUUAUUUCCUUAGAUUCCUGGUGAAUCAACUCUACAGGGUUUGGUCAACUCUCUUCUGUUGCUGCCUUCUGUUAAGUACCUCUGUUAAGUACCUGUCCUGGGGCAGGGACUAGGAAUAGGAUGUCAGCCAAAGAGGACCCAGACUUCCCAAGGCCACGUUGUCUACCCCCGGCUCAGCUUGCUUCCUGGCCCCAUUCUGUCCCUUGCCUGUGCUGAACUCGGGUCUGCCCCUUCGGGCUUUUAAGGCACCCGUGCCACCACCCCACCCCCCGUGAGGGGCCGGCGCAGGCUCUCGCAUUUGCACGCAGGCCAAGGAACGGCGGGGAGGGCGCCUUCUCUUUCAGGGUUUCGUGCCUCAAAUCUGAUCUGGGCUGUGGACCGCGAGGUUGCCUGUGUCCCGAGGAAAGGGAAUCUCCGGCCUCAGCAACCGGAUGGGGAGAAUAACUUUGGGAGAUUUCCAGGUUCCUGCGUGGUCACCUGCGGUCCCCUUGAGGCCAGCCCUGCCGUGCAUGGACCUAUAGAGCAUAAGUCUCUAGGGUGAUGCAGAGGGCACCCCUAUGGGCAGACCUGAUAAGAGUGUAGGAGAUAGGAAAGGGGUCCAGUCCGUGAGGAACCAGCUACGUUGGCCUGGGAAGUAGUGCUUGUGUGUUAACCAUCGGCCCCGUGUCCACUGUCCUCUCUACGCUGGGCGGUACGUCGUCCCCUCCAAGCCUUUCAUUCACUCCUCACAGAGACUCUCUGCAGCAGAAGUGACCGACCUGGGUUUGGAGACAGGAAGAUUUCGGGGUGUCUCUUCUAAACUGUGACCUUCAGAACCAGUUGCCAGUGGCGAAGUCAACAAAGGUGUCCUUAAUGACUCCACUCCACGACCACCGCAGGCUGCCCCAUCCCUUUCUGGCAACCAAGAGCAGCCUCCUGCCUCUAAGCCUCCACGUCGGCCUGUCCCUAG